GAUUUCUGGUCUGUUGAGCCUGUCCCGCGCCUUUACGGUUGUGUGUGACGGGUUUCAGCUACCAUCCUUCCACAAAACAGCUCUGCCCUUCACUGGGAGGGAGUUGCUAUGUGGAUCUUUUACUUUGAAAAAAUUAGAGUGUUUAAAGCAGGCUUAUGCCAUUGAAUACAUUAGCAUGGAAUAAUAAUUUAGGACUUUUGUUCUAUUUUGUUGGUUUCUAGAAUGAAAGUAAUGAUUGAUAGGGACAGUUGGGGGUGCUAGUAUUCGGCGGCCAGAGGUGAAAUUCUUGGAUUCGCUGAAGACUAACUAAUGCGAAAGCAUU
RNAcentral lists this ribosomal RNA (322 nucleotides) under uncultured Glissomonadida. RNAcentral's name for it is "SSU rRNA". The stretch from base 60 to 322 matches the Rfam family "Eukaryotic small subunit ribosomal RNA", at positions 692 to 955 of the family's 1831-position model. The record is from RNAcentral. Lineage: Eukaryota; Cercozoa; Glissomonadida.